Molecule: transfer RNA, 59 nt
Filed under: Loxodonta africana (African savanna elephant)
Lineage: Eukaryota; Metazoa; Chordata; Mammalia; Proboscidea; Elephantidae
Rfam family: tRNA
About the family: Transfer RNA (tRNA) molecules are approximately 80 nucleotides in length. Their secondary structure includes four short double-helical elements and three loops (D, anti-codon, and T loops). Further hydrogen bonds mediate the characteristic L-shaped molecular structure. tRNAs have two regions of fundamental functional importance: the anti-codon, which is responsible for specific mRNA codon recognition, and the 3' end, to which the tRNAs corresponding amino acid is attached (by aminoacyl-tRNA synthetases). tRNAs cope with the degeneracy of the genetic code in two manners: having more than one tRNA (with a specific anti-codon) for a particular amino acid; and 'wobble' base-pairing, i.e. permitting non-standard base-pairing at the 3rd anti-codon position.
Source: Rfam by way of RNAcentral
AGUGGUUAGGCAUUCAGCUACUAACUGAAAGGGUGGUGGUUCAACCCCACCAGCCACUC